Molecule: transfer RNA, 72 nt
Filed under: Entomophthora muscae
Lineage: Eukaryota; Fungi; Entomophthoromycota; Entomophthoromycetes; Entomophthorales; Entomophthoraceae
Description: tRNA-Glu
Rfam family: tRNA
About the family: Transfer RNA (tRNA) molecules are approximately 80 nucleotides in length. Their secondary structure includes four short double-helical elements and three loops (D, anti-codon, and T loops).
Source: RNAcentral
UCCCUUGUAGUCCAGUGGUUAGGAUACUCCGCUUUCACCGGAGCGGCCAGGGUUCGAUUCCCUGCAGGGGAG